CUCAGUUGCUAAGUGAAAGGGGUAGAGAAAUAUCCGUCCGUGGGAGGUGGGCUGAGGAAAGAAAUUCUAUUAGAGUCAUCAAAUUUGCCUGUACCGAGAUCCUCCAGGGCGUGAGAGUAACUCAGUCUGGUUUGUGAGUGAGUGUUUGCCAGGUGCCUUCUCGCCGAUCGCGUUUGCAUUGUGCCGACGAGAUUUACGUAUUCUACGCAGAUUCCUGGGUGGUUUUCUCUUAUUUUGAACAUAAAUUCCGAGGUAUUCCCUGGGAUGAACAGACGAUUCUGGAAUCAUCCUGGCCUCCUGAAGACAUCCGGGCCAUAGAUCGGAAGGCAUGAUAUCCAAGAAAUGAUGGUGGACGUUAUGAGAAAAUGCCAGGACACUUUGACACUGGAAAAGGUCCCCCACUGGCCAUGGCACUCUGAAGGUGA
This is a long non-coding RNA of Macrobrachium nipponense, 425 nucleotides long. RefSeq lists it as uncharacterized. The record is from RefSeq and is a predicted model, not a curated record. Lineage: Eukaryota; Metazoa; Arthropoda; Malacostraca; Decapoda; Palaemonidae. The transcript has 3 exons.